RNAcentral lists this ribosomal RNA (1037 nucleotides) under uncultured bacterium. RNAcentral's name for it is "bacterial SSU rRNA". It matches the Rfam family "Bacterial small subunit ribosomal RNA", at positions 63 to 1106 of the family's 1533-position model. The record is from RNAcentral.
CGAGCGAAGGGAGUACUACGGUACGAACUUAGCGGCGGACGGGUGCUCUUCACGUGGACAAUCUACCCUGUAGACUGGGAUAACACCUCGCAAGGGGUGCUAAUACCGGAUAAUGUCGAGAAGCGGCAUCGCUUUUCGAAGAAAGGAGGGAAUCCGCUAUAGGAGGAGUCCGCGUCCCAUUAGCUAGUUGGUGAGGGUAAGGGCCCACCAAGGCGACGAUGGGUAGCCGGCCUGAGAGGGUGAACGGCCACACUGGAACUGAGACACGGUCCAGACUCCUACGGGAGGCAGCAGUGGGGAAUAUUGUGCAAUGGGGGAAACCCUGACACAGCGACGCCGCGUGAGUGAAGAAGGCCUUCGGGUCGUAAAGCUCAAUAGUAUGGGAAGAAAGAAAUGACGGUACCAUACGAAAGCCCCGGCUAACUACGUGCCAGCAGCCGCGGUAAUACGUAGGGGGCGAGCGUUGUCCGGAAUUACUGGGCGUAAAGAGCACGUAGGCGGCUAUAAAAGUCAGAUGUGAAAAACCUGGGCUCAACCGAGGGUAUGCAUCUGAAACUAAAUAGCUUGAGUCAAGGAGAGGAGAGCGGAAUUCCUGGUGUAGCGGUGAAAUGCGUAGAGAUCAGGAAGAAUACCAGUGGCGAAAGCGGCUCUCUGGACUUGAACUGACGCUGAGGUGCGAAAGCGUGGGGAGCAAACAGGAUUAGAUACCCUGGUAGUCCACGCCGUAAACGAUGAGUGCUAAGUGUUAGAGGGUUUCCACCCUUUAGUGCUGCAGCUAACGCAUUAAGCACUCCGCCUGGGGGAGUACGGCCGCAAGGCUGAAACUCAAAGGAAUUGACGGGGGCCCGCACAAGCGGUGGAGCAUGUGGGUUUAAUUCGAAGCAACGCGAAGAACCUUACCAGGGCUUGACAUCCACAGAAUCGAGUAGAAAUACCUGAGUGCCUUCUAUGAAGGAGCUGUGAGACAGGUGGUGCAUGGUUGUCGUCAGCUCGUGUCGUGAGAUGUUGGGUUAAGUCCCGCAACGAGCGCAACCCUA